GGGCUCACACAAGCGGUGGAGGAUGUGGCUUAAUUCGAGGCUACGCGAAGAACCUUAUCCUAGUCUUGACAUGCACGGAUUAGCUCCUGGAAACAGGAGUGACGCCUUCGGGUGGAACGUGCACAGGUGCUGCAUGGCUGUCGUCAGCUCGUGUCGUGAGAUGUCGGGUUAAGUCCCUUAACGAGCGAAACCCUUGUCACUAGUUGCCAGCGCGUCAUGGCGGGGACUCUAGUGAGACUGCCGGUGUUAAACCGGAGGAAGGUGGGGAUGACGUCAAGUCCUCAUGGCCUUUAUGAUUAGGGCUGCACACGUCCUACAAUGGCACACACAAAGGGAAGCAAACUCGCGAGAGUAAGCAAAUCUCAAAAAAUGUGCCCCAGUUCGGAUUGCAGGCUGCAACUCGCCUGCAUGAAGCCGGAAUCGCUAGUAAUCGCGGGUCAGCAUACCGCGGUGAAUGUGUUCCUGAGCCUU
RNAcentral lists this ribosomal RNA (471 nucleotides) under uncultured bacterium. RNAcentral describes it as "bacterial SSU rRNA". It matches the Rfam family "Bacterial small subunit ribosomal RNA", at positions 917 to 1382 of the family's 1533-position model. The record is from RNAcentral.